RNAcentral lists this ribosomal RNA (485 nucleotides) under uncultured bacterium. RNAcentral describes it as "bacterial SSU rRNA". It matches the Rfam family "Bacterial small subunit ribosomal RNA", at positions 36 to 518 of the family's 1533-position model. The record is from RNAcentral.
CUGGCGGCGUGCUUAACACAUGCAAGUCGAACGAAGCUCCUAAACCUGAGAUUCGUCAAGGGCGAGGGAUGACUUAGUGGCGGACGGGUGAGUAAUGCGUGAGCAACCUGCCCUUCAGAGGGGGACAACAGCUGGAAACGGCUGCUAAUACCGCAUAAAGUACAGAUGAGGCAUCUCGACUGUACCAAAGAUUUAUCGCUGAAGGAUGGGCUCACGUCUGAUUAGCUAGUUGGUGAGGUAAUGGCUCACCAAGGCUGCGAUCAGUAGCCGGACUGAGAGGUUGGCCGGCCACAUUGGGACUGAGAUACGGCCCAGACUCCUACGGGAGGCAGCAGUGGGGAAUAUUGGGCAAUGGGCGCAAGCCUCGACCCAGCAACGCCGCGUGAAGGAAGAAGGCUUUCGGGUUGUAAACUUCUUUUGGCAGGGACGAAGAAAGUGACGGUACCUGCAGAAUAAGCUCCGGCUAACUACGUGCCAGCAGCAGC